RNAcentral lists this ribosomal RNA (253 nucleotides) under uncultured bacterium. RNAcentral describes it as "partial 16S ribosomal RNA". It matches the Rfam family "Bacterial small subunit ribosomal RNA", at positions 524 to 776 of the family's 1533-position model. The record is from RNAcentral.
UACAGAGGGUGCUAGCGUUGUUCGGAAUUAUUGGGCGUAAAGGGCGCGUAGGCGGCCCUGUGUGUCGGGUGUGAAAGCCCACCUCUUAAAGGUGGAAUUGCAUUCGAAACUACAGGGCUGGAGUGUCGGAGAGGAUGGCGGAAUUCCUGGUGUAGAGGUGAAAUUCGUAGAUAUCAGGAGGAACACCGGUGGCGGAGGCGGCCAUCUGGACGACAACUGACGCUGAGGCGCGAAAGCGUGGGGAUCAAACAGG